UGGGAUUGCUCGACGCUUGCGAAAUCAACAAUGAAAAUGGCGAAACGAAACUUGUGAAUCGUGCAUUUGCUCUUCAUGGUAGCUGCCAAAAAAUCGAAUCAAACUUAUGGGACACUGGAUUACAGGUUGCUGCCACUACUCCAUGUGCCCGCAAUUGUCUUGCGUGUAUGAUUACACUAACGGCGUCGCCCACCACGGCGGAAGUGUUUUGCGUACACGCGUUUCAGCAUGAAGCCUGCAGGUGGACGUAAAUUGUAGAAGGCAGCUAGUGGGGGAGAAGAUCAUGGUCAUAGGUCAUGUGACUCCUGGAGCUCCCAGUGGGCUCCCUUGUGGAGUACUUUUCAGAACACACACACACACACACAGUUUGCUCACAGAACCAACGAGUAGGAUGUUGCUUGAAUACUGAGAGAAAAUGGCGUAACACAUACAAAUAUCGUGUGACACAUAUGACAAUAAAAACAUUUUUCACGAGGGAUGCAUGAAACACUGUCGCAAUAUUGUGUGCAUGAACCAUUGUGUGUGACACAAGCCGUGGGGGCACACCGCCUCGGACACAUUUUGGGAAGCAUAAA
Long non-coding RNA from Ornithodoros turicata, 575 nucleotides. RefSeq lists it as uncharacterized. Lineage: Eukaryota; Metazoa; Arthropoda; Arachnida; Ixodida; Argasidae. The transcript is spliced from 3 exons. The record is from RefSeq and is a predicted model, not a curated record.